GGGGGGUCAGCCUAUAGAUUAGGGGAGUGAGGCAUGGGGUGAAAGGGUUAAUGCUGUUCUGGACUCAACUCCCCUCGAUUCUCCGGUCACCACAUCAAUUGACGGGAGUUCUUGUUUAGCAAAUUAAGACACAGACACGAAAGAGUGCUUAACAAGUUCUCAGUGAGUAUAUUUUCAGGUCUAGCAUUUAUACACAGUUUGUCACUCAAGCAGCGAGAUUUAUCGUUUCCUUGUAGUUAAUAGUACAUACUUGUCUGACAUUAAAAGAUAAGCAUUUGAAUAAAGACGGGACAGGAACAUCCUGAGGUCGAGCAAGGUCAUACAUCCUGUAGAAGGGAGGCCUCUCAAAAGCAUGUUAUAGAAU
Non-coding RNA from Pelobates cultripes (western spadefoot toad), 364 nucleotides. NCBI's taxonomy places the organism in Eukaryota, Metazoa, Chordata, Amphibia, Anura, Pelobatidae. The record is from the annotation of a GenBank genome assembly.